This 1689-nucleotide ribosomal RNA is filed under the name Salmonella enterica subsp. enterica serovar Newport. RNAcentral's name for it is "partial 23S ribosomal RNA". It matches the Rfam family "Bacterial large subunit ribosomal RNA", at positions 1154 to 2802 of the family's 2925-position model. The record is from RNAcentral. Lineage: Bacteria; Pseudomonadati; Pseudomonadota; Gammaproteobacteria; Enterobacterales; Enterobacteriaceae.
CGUAUCACUUAAAGCGAUUCAGCGGGUUACGAUUGACGGAGCGAAGCGACGUCAAAGCGUAUACAAAGUCGAGUCGGUUUAAGGAUACGUUCGUUGGGUAGGGGAGCGUUCUGUAAGCCUGUGAAGGUGGCCUGUGAGGGUUGCUGGAGGUAUCAGAAGUGCGAAUGCUGACAUAAGUAACGAUAAAGCGGGUGAAAAGCCCGCUCGCCGGAAGACCAAGGGUUCCUGUCCAACGUUAAUCGGGGCAGGGUGAGUCGACCCCUAAGGCGAGGCCGAAAGGCGUAGUCGAUGGGAAACAGGUUAAUAUUCCUGUACUUGGUGUUACUGCGAAGGGGGGACGGAGAAGGCUAUGUUGGCCGGGCGACGGUUGUCCCGGUUUAAGCGUGUAGGUGUGUGUUCCAGGUAAAUCCGGUUCACUUUAACACUGAGGCGUGAUGACGAGGCACUACGGUGCUGAAGCAACAAAUGCCCUGCUUCCAGGAAAAGCCUCUAAGCAUCAGGUAACAUCAAAUCGUACCCCAAACCGACACAGGUGGUCAGGUAGAGAAUACCAAGGCGCUUGAGAGAACUCGGGUGAAGGAACUAGGCAAAAUGGUGCCGUAACUUCGGGAGAAGGCACGCUGACACGUAGGUGAAGUGAUUUACUCAUGGAGCUGAAGUCAGUCGAAGAUACCAGCUGGCUGCAACUGUUUAUUAAAAACACAGCACUGUGCAAACACGAAAGUGGACGUAUACGGUGUGACGCCUGCCCGGUGCCGGAAGGUUAAUUGAUGGGGUCAGCGCAAGCGAAGCUCCUGAUCGAAGCCCCGGUAAACGGCGGCCGUAACUAUAACGGUCCUAAGGUAGCGAAAUUCCUUGUCGGGUAAGUUCCGACCUGCACGAAUGGCGUAAUGAUGGCCAGGCUGUCUCCACCCGAGACUCAGUGAAAUUGAACUCGCUGUGAAGAUGCAGUGUACCCGCGGCAAGACGGAAAGACCCCGUGAACCUUUACUAUAGCUUGACACUGAACAUUGAGCCUUGAUGUGUAGGAUAGGUGGGAGGCUUUGAAGUGUGGACGCCAGUCUGCAUGGAGCCGACCUUGAAAUACCACCCUUUAAUGUUUGAUGUUCUAACGUGGACCCGUAAUCCGGGUUGCGGACAGUGUCUGGUGGGUAGUUUGACUGGGGCGGUCUCCUCCUAAAGAGUAACGGAGGAGCACGAAGGUUGGCUAAUCCUGGUCGGACAUCAGGAGGUUAGUGCAAUGGCAUAAGCCAGCUUGACUGCGAGCGUGACGGCGCGAGCAGGUGCGAAAGCAGGUCAUAGUGAUCCGGUGGUUCUGAAUGGAAGGGCCAUCGCUCAACGGAUAAAAGGUACUCCGGGGAUAACAGGCUGAUACCGCCCAAGAGUUCAUAUCGACGGCGGUGUUUGGCACCUCGAUGUCGGCUCAUCACAUCCUGGGGCUGAAGUAGGUCCCAAGGGUAUGGCUGUUCGCCAUUUAAAGUGGUACGCGAGCUGGGUUUAGAACGUCGUGAGACAGUUCGGUCCCUAUCUGCCGUGGGCGCUGGAGAACUGAGGGGGGCUGCUCCUAGUACGAGAGGACCGGAGUGGACGCAUCACUGGUGUUCGGGUUGUCAUGCCAAUGGCACUGCCCGGUAGCUAAAUGCGGAAGAGAUAAGUGCUGAAAGCAUCUAAGCACGAAACUUGCCCCGA